GGCUGAAAUGCAAUUCUUAAAGUUUAUACAUAUAUGUAGCAAUGUGAAAAAAGUAUCAAUGUGAAUUUUAUGUAAAAUUCCUUAGCUUAUCUCUCACAUUAGAAUGUGUUAAAAGUUAUCUAUGACAAUUCAAAUUUGUAUUUUUCUUUAUUGGUUAUUUUUUUAUAAAAUUUUAUAUGUAAGUAUAUGACCAGAAAGUACUAUAAGAUUCAAAGUAAUCUAAUACAAAUCUAAUACAUCUUGUACACAUCACUGUGAGAUUGCCAAUGUUCGUAAAUCUGUUGUCAUUUGAGUAUUUGAAAUUAACUGUUCUUCAACCUCUGAUAUAAUUACAUUUUAGUAAAAUGGCAAAGCAAGGAUCAACUCAAACUUUAGAUUCACUGCCUAUUCAUGACCUGAAUUUGAUAUUUCAUUUCUUCCAAUAUAAAAUUUAAGUAGAAAAACUUUCUUAAAUAACAUUUAUCCAAAAUGUAAAACACAGCUCAAGAUAAUUCAGAAUGUUAAAUACAAUAUGGAAUCAGCAUGAUUUAUACCUAUUUUACUUAUUAAACCAUUUAUUCAAUGGAAAAUACAUAUUUCAGGCUGUCCACAUGCUAUGCACAGUUGUUGCAUUCAUUGAGACCAUAGCCCAGCAGGAAACAUAGAUACUGAAUAAGUAAUAACAAAUAUGAUAAAGAUUAAUGAACAAGUUUUGUACAUUAAUUAUAGAUAUAAAUGAGCAUGGGUUACCUUUUGUAUUAUAU
RNAcentral lists this long non-coding RNA (743 nucleotides) under Marmota monax (woodchuck). The record is from RNAcentral. Lineage: Eukaryota; Metazoa; Chordata; Mammalia; Rodentia; Sciuridae.